GAGCAUCUAAAAAAUCUAAACACUAUUACAAGACCAAUAAUAUACAUAAUGGAAAUUAAAUAUUAAUGGAAGAAAUUUGGUGUCGCGAACGUUGGCAGUCGCAUUGCUCAGUUAUGAUAAAAAGUCUCCAAUCAGCAUCAGAACCCACUACUGGGUGAACAAAUACCUGCAUCUGCACACGAGGUGUAGGGAGUAAAGUGGGUAUUCCAACUCAAUGAGUAAUAAAAGUAAAUAACAACUGACCAGUAAGAAAUCACGUAAAACAUAUCGUCAUGUUGUAUAGAAGCAGAGAAAAAUCCUUAAAUGGGGAAAACUAGUGAAAACUUGUGAAAAACAUUAGAAAUAUCUUGGCUCAGUUUUAAACCUCUUUUGAAAAUGAUCUUUUCAACGGUUACCAAAAAGCGCUUCAAAAUAAUUUGCGACGCUAUGCACAAAAAUCUGCCCCUCAAGCAACACCCUUGUUCCUGGUCAGCCUCUCGGGCCCUAACACUCAAUGAUUAGAUAGUACCAGCACAUCAGAUAAAUAUCUCAAGAAAACAUCACAAACAAUAAUUAAUGAACAAAUACAUGAAUGCAAUGCAAUGCAUAUGAUGGUACAUUCCAGUACCCAUUGCGGCGCGCAGCCCGAGCCACCCAUAUCAUUUAACGUCGACGGCGCUCACAGGGGUGUGUACAGACUCCAUAGGGGCUCCUACAGCUCAAGUGCAAUAUCAAUCCAUCUCUUGGCAUCAAUCACAUCUUAGGCAGCUAUUGUUACCUGACCCUUUUACAUCAUACAGUACCAUUAUUACCACUAUUUCAAAUCAGUGUUCCGGCACGCAGCCCGAGCCACCCCAAAUCAGUCCAGAAAAACGUCAUAAACUCCUUGGGAAUUUAUAAAAUAGUAGUUCUCUGCCCAAAAUAACAAAUAAAAUAUCAUUUGAGUAUUCAAAACUUAGAAAUAUGGCUAAGUUUGCAAAACAAUAUUAAAAACCUUGGACUGAAACCAAAUGAUAUGCAAAAUAUGCUAAAACAGUAAUAUCAAUCCUUGAAGGGGUCCACAAGUCGGCACAAGGCCCCAAACAAUGGCAACAAGCCUAAUUCAUAGUAAUAAAAUAAGCGUCUCAAUCGACAAUAUAAUAGAAAUAACACUUGGGAUGGACCAAGUCACAAUUCCCAAUAGAAAACGACCCCACACUCGUUAUAGAAUGUGUAUCAUGCCUCAAUAUAGCGUUACGAUGUGAAAUCUAGGGUUUCAAACCCUUAGGAUAUCAUUUACAAGCAUUACUCACCUCAAGACGACCAAAAGUCUAGCUUGUUAUGCCCUUGACUCUCGAAUUGGACUCCUCGUGCGAUAAAUCUGCCCCAAAAUAAAGACGAAUAUGUCGCAUUAUGCUAAAGGGACAAUACCCAAUCGAAAGCAAUCGAAAAAUAUCAAAAUUCACGUAUUUGACAAAACCCGAGCCCCGAGCCCACGUCUCGAAACUCAGAAAUUUGUACACCAAAAUGUUCUUCGUCUUCUCACGAGCCCGUACAUAUAAAUAACACAAAAAUCGGAGCUCAUUUGGCCCUUCAAAUCGACCCUAGAAAAUCUCAAAAUCAUAGGCCCUAAAACCCCACUUUUCUACUGAUUUUCAUGUUCUAAUUCACAUAUAAUCUUGUAUUUAACUUGGAAAUAAGUAGAAAUAACUCACCUUUAAUGCUUGAUGAAAUCCCCCAUGAAAUUCUCUCCAAAAU
RNAcentral lists this long non-coding RNA (1716 nucleotides) under Nicotiana benthamiana. Its description in RNAcentral is "long non-coding RNA (NBEN_LNC020918)". Lineage: Eukaryota; Viridiplantae; Streptophyta; Magnoliopsida; Solanales; Solanaceae. The record is from RNAcentral.